CCUACGGGGUGCUGCAGUGGGGAAUAUUGGACAAUGGGCGAAAGCCUGAUCCAGCCAUGCCGCGUGUGUGAAGAAGGCCUUCGGGGUGUAAAGCACUUUCAGUGGGGAAGAAAGCCUUGGGGCUAAUACCCUCGAGGAAGGACAUCACCCACAGAAGAAGCACCGGCUAACUCCGUGCCAGCAGCCGCGGUAAUACGGAGGGUGCGAGCGUUAAUCGGAAUUACUGGGCGUAAAGCGCGCGUAGGCGGUCUGAUAAGCCGGUUGUGAAAGCCCCGGGCUCAACCUGGGAACGGCAUCCGGAACUGUCAGGCUAGAGUGCAGGAGAGGAAGGUAGAAUUCCCGGUGUAGCGGUGAAAUGCGUAGAGAUCGGGAGGAAUACCAGUGGCGAAGGCGGCCUUCUGGACUGACACUGACGCUGAGGUGCGAAAGCGUGGGUAGCAAACAGGAUUAGAUACCCUAGUAGUC
This 465-nucleotide ribosomal RNA is filed under the name Vreelandella stevensii. Its description in RNAcentral is "partial 16S ribosomal RNA". It matches the Rfam family "Bacterial small subunit ribosomal RNA", at positions 338 to 795 of the family's 1533-position model. The record is from RNAcentral. Lineage: Bacteria; Pseudomonadati; Pseudomonadota; Gammaproteobacteria; Oceanospirillales; Halomonadaceae.